ACUGUUUCAAGAUUAUUAUAUGUACUGACUGACCUUAAGGGUUCUGUGAAUUAACACUUUGAAAAUGGAAACCAGCAGGAACACUGCACUGAGGAUAUAAAACAUUGUUUUUAGUUACUUUAAUAUUUAACGAAGAGCUCUUCUAUGCUUUCCAAGCCAGCAGACCAUUUGUCAUGAUUGGCUUGUUUAUGCAGUGUUCUCAGUGCACAAAACUGGAUUCAUUUACAGCAAAACUCAAGCAAGAAAUAGCUCUUGGAAUGCCUCUAGCUGCAGUCAUCCUGUUUAUUGGGUAUUCAACUGGACCAGACCAGGGUCUGGGCUGGAAUAGAAAAGGUGUUUUUUUAUUUCUAGGCUGAAAUAAAAACUUCAGAGGUGUCAAGGUCUCAGCACCAACCAUAUUGCUCUCCAGCUCUGCCCCUACUGCAGACAUAGAAUGCAGAUAUAAUGAAGACAUAGCCUAAGUCUUGACCGGCUGGAGGCCUGAAAAAGCCCAUGAACUUAUAGAUGUGGUCGCAGCUGCCGAAGCCACCACAGUACUGCUGUGGAAGAGAUUAGAAAGCCUGACCCCUGGGAGCCUCUUGUGUGCUGCUCCUCUUCCCACUCGAGCAGGUAAAGUAGCUCCAACCACCAACACAGGAGCCUGCUGUGCCACCCCGAAGGAGAAAACAAGCCAGCCGGUAUCGAGGUCCAAAUAAGCUGAAGUGGCAGAUGGCUACAAACACCCUACGAACAGCUUGUUGCACCUGCACAGAAACCUAGAGAGAAACUACAACCCUUACACAAGAGCUCCAAGGCCCAACUCUGGCUGUGAGGAUGCAGCAGCCAGUGCUGCCUUCAUAGAACCAUAAAACCAUGGAAUAUCCUGAGUUGGAAGGGACCGAUAUGGAUCAUUGAAGUCCAACUCCUGGCCUGCACAGGACAGCCCAAGAAUCCCAACAUGUGCCUGAGAGCAUUGUCCAAACAGAGUUCAAGAAGGAACUCUGUCAGGUUUGACUGCUUCCCUGGGGAGCCUGUUCCAGUGCCCAACCACCCUCUGUGCAAAGAACCUCUUCCAAAUAUCCAGCAUAACCCUUCCCUGCCUUCAUGCCCUCGCCAUCCCUCACACUCAUAAUAAAAAAAAAUUAAAAUUAAUAGAAGAAAAGGCCUCAGAGCCACGAGUCCCUCCCUGCUCCUCAGGACUGGGGGUUCACACUCACUCUGUCCCCACUUCACUCACACAGGGGGCAGGGACGGACGGACAGACCCUCAGUGCCUGUGAGGCUGUACCAGCAACCGCGCCAGCUCCCAGGGGUGGCCAUGGUGUGGGAUCCAUCACAGUCCCCACCGCCUCUGAGGUCCCCCCGAUGGUCACCAGCACCCUGUGUGACCCAGCCUCGAAACUUCCCUCUCCCCUUUUCACCCCCCACCCGGGUUUGCCAGCCCCAAAACUGCCCCACACCUCAGAGCCCAGCACAAGGCGGGCGAGGCCUGAGGGCUGUGGAGCCGAGACGGGGAUGCCGGGCCCGGGGAGGCAGCUUUGUGCUGCUGGAGUGUUUGCAGAGCAGCAAAAUCACCAGAGUCAUCUGCAUCUUGUUGGAUUCCUGCCAGAGAAGAGUGGUUGGAUCAGAACAACUUGAAGAAUAGAAACUGUCUCACCAUGCUGACCCUGGGACUUGGCAAGCUGGGAGCUCCCUGAAGAGUCUUCUGCAUCACUGAGCCCAGCCUUGCCCCUCCAGAAAAUCUCCCAUGAGCAGCAAGCUGAAGGUGAAGUCUCUGUGAGUGUCAGGGGUGGGGGGGAUUGUCUCCUACAGCUUCAGCAGCGGUGGGGUGCAAGAGGCAGACAAAGGCAAUGCUAUUAUUAAUGCUUUAUUAGGUACAAACAACACAUUUUAAUCUGCCAGAAAUCAAGCCUGAUUGAGUCAUAACUGUUGUGAGCUUGGAUGCUUGAAUUGUUCCUAAUGUCUGAACAAACCUUUUCUUCCUGCUUCUGCCAAUCUGAUUUGCAAUCCAAAGGAGUUUGUAGCGUUAAUGUAAGUACAUUGAAUAGGCUUUGACUAAUUCAGUCUCAGUUGAAAAUGAGUGUAUGUAAUGGGAUAUUUCUGAGAAGAAGCCUCUUGUAUUGUGCUCUUCUGAGUACAAGGUUUGUUUGAACGCUGCCAUAUCCCUACUGGACAUCAUAGCCAUGUCUUUGAAACACUGACCUAAUAAAAUCCAGUGCUGGGGGUAGGGAGCCAGUUAAAUGUAAAAUGAUCAUAGCCUCUCUACCCAACAGGGUAUCCCCCCAAACAGGGAUCAGACUUUCAACUUCAGUUUUUGCACAGUGGGAAAGAACCAGCAAUUAAAGCUCCUUAAAUCCUUGUAGUUGUCAAGCGCUGAAAUUAUAUGACAGCAAUAUAGGUUUUCUACAGUGGAGAUGGGACAGAAACAGGUUAUCACAUUAAUUAUAUUUUUCUUUUGAAAAAAGGACUGACUUUAUUGAGUAUUACAGGCAAGACCACUGCAUUCCUGACUGGCUGUAUGAUCUCAGACAAGUCAUUUAUUUCCUUCUGUUCCUUUUACAUGCUCUUUUUGUUUUUCCUACUUAGACUGAAAACACUUCAGGACAAAAGCUCUCUCUCCCUCUGCCUUAUGUAAUGCCAGGCCUAACAAAGCUCUGCUUUGCUUUGAGGCUUUAGAGAGUGAUGAAAUAUAAAUACUUUCAAAGACAAUAAGUGACACUGGCUUUGAAUGGGAAGUCAUAGCAUGGCCUGAGAAGGGGCAAUUUUUACUGUUCUUUCCUAUCUGCUGAUCAGUAUUCUCUUGGAAAAAAGAAGACUGGAAAUUUUUGCAAACAUUAUAGAUGCUUACACUGUUGUGGCGGACUCUGAAAGAACUGGAUUAUGAGUGGUUAAAUUGCAUUUGGCUGAAAAUCAAAUUAGCUUUAUUGAUACCUGUAUGCCUCAAUAGCACCUAAAGCCCAGGAGAGGUUUAGUAAAAAUUAAAAAAACUCCUUUUCCUAAGUAGACACUCAUGAUUAGUUGCAAAAUUUCACCAUCAAGUGUCUUGAGGGAGACGAGCUUGACAGUGUGGUAAUAUUCAGGCUGUAAAACAAACAAAUGAAAAUAGGCUUUGAAGAAUUAUGAAGAUUUUGCAUACCUUCUUUCAUUUUUUUUAAAAUUAUUUUUUAUCACCUGAGACUCCUGUCAGCAUAAAGGGCCAGGCAACAUACAAACCCUGCCACAAAAAGGCUGUUGUUCCUCCAAAGAGCAGUUGGUCUUGGGGCACAGUGAGAGGGGCUAAAUUAAGUUGCUUAAGAGAUGCUUGGUCUAACUACAUUUUAUAACCUUUUUUUCUCCAGAAGUUCUUGUCAUGUCAGUUCUACCAGUUGAUCUACUUCAUUAAUUUUUUUUUUUCCAACUUGGCUCUUUUACACAGUCAGACUGCAUUCUGUAAUAAUUAGAUAGAUGAAGAGCUGAGAUAGGUGGAACUCUGACAGAGACAUAGGAUUAAGUGUCCGGAGAGUAAAAACCUCUCAACCAUGAUCAGCAGCAGAAGACACAGCAAGUGAACUUGCACUGAUUAGAUUAAGUCAGCCCUGAUGGCACAGGCAUGGAAAAUAAGUGCAGUAAGAAACUUCUUCUGGCUGAUUUGGUGCCAGGCUGUGAUGAGGAGCACCUGGAAAGACAGUCACUGUUGCAGUUACUCUGGCCUUUAAUUUUUUUUUGUUUUAAAAGCUAAAGAAAGUCCCAAUAAAAUUAUUUUAACAAAUAGACUGACUGAUGUAAUCAUAGAAGGGCACAUUUAAGUAUUGCAGUAGUAUAUACAGUUUGCUUCACCCCACUUCUCCUUUACAAGGAGCUUUUAACAGAGGUGGUAUCACUAAUUAUUCCACAAACGAAACACAGAAGUUGUGGUCUGUGUGUUUGCCCUCAGAAGAUUUGUGACUGUCUUUCAGAACCAAAGAAAAUAUUUCUCUCAUGGUAGUGGUCCAGGUUUAGAUAGUCUGUUGAUAUCAUCAAGGUGGAUGAUUCUAAUUCACCUUCUAGUUCACUAAAACGCAUUCCCAGUAACGGCAAUUUUUUGAGAAAAAGCACGAGGUCACUAGACCUCCUCAUCCUCCAGGCCAGCUCAUCAUUCACGUGCCUACAGUGCAUAUAAGUGCAGGUAAUAUCUCAUAAAUCCAGUAAUCAGGUGCAUCUUUAUAGGCUCCUGGAUACCUGUUAGGUGACUGGGGAAUUCUGAACCUGCUCAGUGUUAAGUGCAGUUAAUGCUUUCAUACUUGGCAAUGCAACUUCACCAGGAGUAGCUCAGAGGAAAUGGCGUGGACAGCAGCAGUCCUGAGAUCUUGUCCUUCUUUAGCAUGUGGGAAUGUCACUUGAAAUUCACACCUGUGUGUCCUUGCAGUCAUCUAACUAUUUUUUUCUUUCUUUAUUAACAUGUCAGUGUAACUGAAGUUCUUAUGAACCAUGAGAAAAGAUGGAGGCUUGCUGGUGUGAAAUGAAAGUGUGCAACACAGGCCUACAAGGGCACUUGCUCUUUGGAUUUUGGUGCUGUUCAGGCAGACACUAUUUCAGUGACCUGCUCUGCUUUGCCAGGACAGGCAGUUCUGAGUCUGUGCAAAGGCAGCUUUAGGCAACUUAGUGAGCCAGAUAGUUCAGACAGCUUCAAGGUUAUGGAGCAGCUGAGUAGGAGUUUUCAGGAACAGUUUUGGACUUUAAUUUUUAAUUGCAUCCUUUUUUAUUUUUUUAGUUUGGCCCUACAGUGAAAUUUGAUUAAGGCAGUAGUAAAGGUUUUCCACACCAACAAUUUCACCUUCAAAGGCAUUUGCAGCUGUGACCUCGGACAUUGUCCCUGUUUCAUGUAUUUCUCCUCUGCUGACAGAAGGAGGAAUUCAUGUUUGCUGUUCAUAAAUAGGAUCAUGCCAGGGAACAUCCUGACUCUGUGUGCAAUCUCUCUGCCUGCAGUCUGUCUGCUUGAUUUGCCAGCCCUGAAUUUUCAGCUACCCACUGGAUUUGAAAAGGGGCAGAUAUUAGAUUUUAUUCUGAAAUGAACUCUUUCUUCCAAGGGCCAUGAAUGGAAACGAAGGGCUAAUCCCCUUGCUGUGGUGCUUAGCCCUGAAUUAUGUGGCAGGCACUCUGAGCAAUGCUAUGAUAUUCUUAGAAAUCAUUUUGAUGAGGUGUCGUUACAUCAGCUGGAAGCAAACGCAGAUGAAAAGCUCAACAGAUAACAAACCAGAGGAAUUCCCUUCAGUCUGAGGUUCAUGUCCUCAUUCAGGAGUUGAAUUUGGAAUCUGCUUGUCCUGGGUGUCAUGAGAGUAUGUUCUGAAAGCACACACACAGCUGUCCAGAAAAUCUGAAAGGACUGCCAGCCAGCUCAUUUGUCUUUACCGGCUACAUCAGGCUUUGAUGUGCUGCACAUGCACCCAUAUGAUCUUUGUCCAGGUGAACAAAUGUCUAGUUUAAUGUUUAGCAGUAGGUCCUUCAUAGCCUUUCAGUCAAGGGCUUCAGUUACAUAUUAAUGGCACAGGUCUUUGUGCAGGUUCAUCAGCAGAAACACUGGUACAUACUGGGGUCGGGAAUGUUUCGGCUCACCAUGUCAGAUAUAGCUGCUGGCCCCAGUUUGGCAAUUACUUCAGUGUGCAUGUAAUUUUAAGCACAUAAGUUAUUCCAGUCAGUCAGGCUUGUGUUUAGAAGUGCAUUGCUGACUGGGGAAUUUCUGGCUCCUAUAGCUGUUCGGAUGUUGGCUCCCAGGAGUCUUCCUCCAAAUUUAACCUUUCUGCUUUACUCUCUUGUGGUAGAAAAGUGGUAGCCUGCUUUGCUCUGUCAGCACAGACAGCAAAUCUGCUUUAACUACCAUCCUGAGAAGGUCUAUCAUUUAUGCAUUGGACAGAUAACUUGAUGGGAAUAAACACGCGAUGGUUUACUCUGAGAGGCCAAGUAAUAUGCAUUCCUACAGCUGGGACUUGUUAGCUUGGUUGCAUAAAAGCUCAACCUACCCAACUGGCAAAAAUUUUACACAAACUUUUACAUAGUUGGGUGCUUGUUCCACGAAGUUCAGAAGUUUUGCAGAGCCU
Molecule: long non-coding RNA, 6031 nt
Organism: Pseudopipra pipra
Lineage: Eukaryota; Metazoa; Chordata; Aves; Passeriformes; Pipridae
Exons: 3
Source: RefSeq, a predicted model, not a curated record